UCGAACGGGGUUAUAUUGUAGCUUGCUAUGGUAUAACUUAGUGGCAGACGGGUGAGUAAUGUAUAGGAAUCUACCUAGUAGUACGGAAUAAUUUUUGGAAGCGACAACUAAUACCGUAUACGCCCUACAGGGGGAAAGAUUUAUUGCUAUUAGAUGAGCCUAUAUUAGAUUAGCUAGUUGGUAAGGUAAUGGCUUACCAAGGCAAUGAUCUAUAGCUGAUCUGAGAGGAUGAUCAGCCACACUGGAACUGAGAUACGGUCCAGACUCCUACGGGAGGCAGCAGUGGGGAAUAUUGGACAAUGGGCGAAAGCCUGAUCCAGCCAUGCCGCAUGAGUGAAGAAGGCCUUUGGGUUGUAAAGCUCCUUCGGUGAGGAAGAUAAUGACGGUACUCACAGAAGAAGUCCUGGCUAACUCCGUGCCAGCAGCCGCGGUAAUACGGAGAGGGCUAGCGUUAUUCGGAAUUAUUGGGCGUAAAGAGCGCGUAGGCUGGUUAGUAAGUUAAAAGUGAAAUCCCAAAGCUCAACUUUGGAAUUGCUUUUAAAACUGCUAACCUAGAGAUUGAAAGAGGAUAAAGGAAUUCCUAGUGUAGAGGUGAAAUUCGUAAAUAUUAGGAGGAACACCAGUGGCGAAGGCGUCUAUCUGGUUCAAAUCUGACGCUGAGGCGCGAAGGCGUGGGGAGCAAACAGGAUU
RNAcentral lists this ribosomal RNA (690 nucleotides) under uncultured Anaplasmataceae bacterium. RNAcentral's name for it is "bacterial SSU rRNA". It matches the Rfam family "Bacterial small subunit ribosomal RNA", at positions 62 to 779 of the family's 1533-position model. The record is from RNAcentral. Lineage: Bacteria; Pseudomonadati; Pseudomonadota; Alphaproteobacteria; Rickettsiales; Anaplasmataceae.